AAAUUGAAGAGUUUGAUCAUGGCUCAGAUUGAACGCUGGCGGCAGGCCUAACACAUGCAAGUCGAACGGUAACAGGAAACAGCUUGCUGUUUCGCUGACGAGUGGCGGACGGGUGAGUAAUGUCUGGGAAACUGCCUGAUGGAGGGGGAUAACUACUGGAAA
This 162-nucleotide ribosomal RNA is filed under the name Escherichia coli. RNAcentral's name for it is "partial 16S ribosomal RNA". It matches the Rfam family "Bacterial small subunit ribosomal RNA", at positions 1 to 156 of the family's 1533-position model. Lineage: Bacteria; Pseudomonadati; Pseudomonadota; Gammaproteobacteria; Enterobacterales; Enterobacteriaceae. The record is from RNAcentral. RNAcentral also lists the same sequence under 1 other name.